GGGGUUGUGGCUUAGUGGUAGAGCACUUGCCUCACAUGUAUGAGGCCCUGGGUUCAAUCCUCAGCACCA
Molecule: transfer RNA, 69 nt
Filed under: Ictidomys tridecemlineatus (thirteen-lined ground squirrel)
Lineage: Eukaryota; Metazoa; Chordata; Mammalia; Rodentia; Sciuridae
Description: Spermophilus tridecemlineatus (thirteen-lined ground squirrel) tRNA
Rfam family: tRNA
About the family: Transfer RNA (tRNA) molecules are approximately 80 nucleotides in length. Their secondary structure includes four short double-helical elements and three loops (D, anti-codon, and T loops).
Source: Rfam by way of RNAcentral